GACGAACGCUGGCGGCGUGCCUAAUACAUGCAAGUCGAACGCUUCUUUCCUCCCGAGUGCUUGCACUCAAUUGGAAAGAGGAGUGGCGGACGGGUGAGUAACACGUGGGUAACCUACCCAUCAGAGGGGGAUAACACUUGGAAACAGGUGCUAAUACCGCAUAACAGUUUAUGCCGCAUGGCAUAAGAGUGAAAGGCGCUUUCGGGUGUCGCUGAUGGAUGGACCCGCGGUGCAUUAGCUAGUUGGUGAGGUAACGGCUCACCAAGGCCACGAUGCAUAGCCGACCGGAGGGGGUGAUCGGCCCCCCUGGGAAGGGGACAGGGCCCAGCACCCGACGGGGGGCAGGAGGAGGGAAUCUGCGGAAAUGGAAGAAAGGCUGACCGAGAAACGCCGGGGGAGUGAAGAAGGGUUUCGGAUCGUAAAACCUUGUUGUUAGAGAAAAACAAGGACGUUAGUAACUGAACGCCCCCUGAAGGUAUUAAACCAGAAAGCCACGGCUAACUACGG
This 507-nucleotide ribosomal RNA is filed under the name uncultured bacterium. Its description in RNAcentral is "partial 16S ribosomal RNA". It matches the Rfam family "Bacterial small subunit ribosomal RNA", at positions 28 to 506 of the family's 1533-position model. The record is from RNAcentral.